This 45-nucleotide non-coding RNA is filed under the name Schistosoma margrebowiei. The record is from RNAcentral. Lineage: Eukaryota; Metazoa; Platyhelminthes; Trematoda; Strigeidida; Schistosomatidae.
AUCCAGCUGACGGGUCUUAAAUAAGACGAAACGCAUGUCCUAGAU